AGACGGAGGGUGCAAGCGUUAAUCGGAAUUACUGGGCGUAAAGCGUACGUAGGCGGUUCGUUAAGUUAGAUGUGAAAGCCCCGGGCUUAACCUGGGAACUGCAUUUAAAACUGGCGGACUAGAGUUGAGUAGAGGGGAGUGGAAUUUCAGGUGUAGCGGUGAAAUGCGUAGAGAUCUGAAGGAACACCAGUGGCGAAGGCGACUCCCUGGACUCGAACUGACGCUGAGGUACGAAAGCGUGGGUAGCAAACGGGAUUAGAAACCCUAGUAGUCC
Molecule: ribosomal RNA, 274 nt
Filed under: uncultured bacterium
Lineage: Bacteria
Description: partial 16S ribosomal RNA
Rfam family: Bacterial small subunit ribosomal RNA
Source: RNAcentral